Molecule: transfer RNA, 77 nt
Filed under: Peribacillus frigoritolerans
Lineage: Bacteria; Bacillati; Bacillota; Bacilli; Caryophanales; Bacillaceae
Description: tRNA-Asp
Rfam family: tRNA
About the family: Transfer RNA (tRNA) molecules are approximately 80 nucleotides in length. Their secondary structure includes four short double-helical elements and three loops (D, anti-codon, and T loops).
Source: RNAcentral
GGUCCCGUGGUGUAGCGGUUAACAUGCCUGCCUGUCACGCAGGAGAUCGCGGGUUCGAUUUCCCGUCGGGACCGCCA